GGGUGUAGUUCAGAAUCAAGGAUCAUUGUGUCUAACCUCUUCCUUGUAAAAGGAGGAAACUGAAGUCAAGAAAAGGGAAGGGAUUAUUUCCCAAGGGUCAGCUGGGAAGAUGGCAGAGUAGGAGGACCCUAAGCUCACUUCAUCCCAUGGAUACAACUAGUUAUUUACACAUCAGUGUAAAUAACCCAGAAAACCAUAUGAAGACUGGUAGAACAAACUCAUAACUAAAGGUAGAGAAGACGCCACAUCAAAGAAGGCUUUCAGCGAUGGUCAGUAACCAAGCAGCCUCAGAAACCACUAGAGGUCGUUCAGCCCCAUCUGGCACUGCACAGUGGAACUGUGUUCAUCCAUGAGUCCUUUCCUCAGUUUUCAAGGUCACCUGCAUCAUCAAAGUUGGAGGCUUACGUGCAGAGAAGGACUGAUGUGGGUUCUGGUUCAUCUUAGCUCUACUGGUACAAAGUGGGGUGCUAUAAAAAUAGCCUCUUUUCAAGCCCAGAGACUGUCAUCCAAACUGUCGACUAACCAUUGAAAUCUCAAUCAUCCAAACAGGUGAAGGAUUGUCUCUGUGAAAAAUAAAA
This is a long non-coding RNA of Zalophus californianus (California sea lion), 578 nucleotides long. RefSeq lists it as uncharacterized. Lineage: Eukaryota; Metazoa; Chordata; Mammalia; Carnivora; Otariidae. The record is from RefSeq and is a predicted model, not a curated record. The transcript is spliced from 4 exons.